GGUGGGUCCUGUCCUGCUGUAGAAGCUCGUUUGGGAUCCGACUAUGAAGAAGCUCGGCUAAAGUCUACCUGUAAUGGAAGUUUAGAAGAGACGUGUUUAUAGUAGGGGCUCGAAUGGAAUUUGCUUACAGUAGAGAUCUGGAGUAGACCGCCCGCUGUAGGAGUUCAGAGUAGACCGCUCGUAGUAGAAGUUCAGAGCAGACCACUCGCUGUAGGAG
This 217-nucleotide long non-coding RNA is filed under the name Elaeis guineensis (African oil palm). RNAcentral describes it as "long non-coding RNA (EGUI_LNC065044)". The record is from RNAcentral. Lineage: Eukaryota; Viridiplantae; Streptophyta; Magnoliopsida; Arecales; Arecaceae.